CCACCCACUGAGCAAAAUGGUGAAUGGUGCCACUGGCAAAGAGUUGACUUUCACAUAUAUAUGUCGAGGAUUCGAAACCCACUCUCAGCACUUUUGUAUCUGGAGCCUUUAUUUCUUUCUUUAUUUUCAAUGGUGCUUUUUAUGCUUGUUGUUCUUUAUUAAUCCAAAUCAAUUUUUUCUUUAAUUAAUUCUUGAUUUUUUCUUUAAUUCUUGAUUUUUUCUU
RNAcentral lists this long non-coding RNA (223 nucleotides) under Capsicum annuum. RNAcentral describes it as "long non-coding RNA (CANN_LNC006573)". Lineage: Eukaryota; Viridiplantae; Streptophyta; Magnoliopsida; Solanales; Solanaceae. The record is from RNAcentral.